GGAAACCGUUGGAUUUGAAAUUCGAAAAUCACCCUCCUCUUAGGAGAUAAGUUUGCCAGCCAAGAAUUGUACCAACUCUCAACAGCUUGGAAAGGAUGGUCGUCCGAUCUUAGAGAAAGAGCGGACAAAAUAGGAGAUUGAGACACUUGGAUUCUCCAAUGACUCCUGGUACGGAAGGAUAAGGAAAAAGGAGAGGACGACACAGCUAGAAGUGUG
This 216-nucleotide unclassified non-coding RNA is filed under the name Hevea brasiliensis (rubber tree). The record is from RNAcentral. Lineage: Eukaryota; Viridiplantae; Streptophyta; Magnoliopsida; Malpighiales; Euphorbiaceae.